GAGCCGAGCCGAGCCGAGCCGAGCCGAGCCGAGCGGGGACUCGCGGGAGGGCCGCGAGGCGCGCGGAGCACGGUUGUUUCCCUGAGGGGCUGAUGGAGCGGUUGUUACCAUGAAUCUGUUUGAACUACAAGCUGCCGCGAGCCUGUGCUGCUCGGCCACGGCGUACUGAAGGCGGGGCUCAGAGACCGCGGCGGCAGCCCGGGCGGGGCGUCCAGCUGGGGCGCGGGGGAGCAGGCGGGACGCGGCCUCGGCGGAGGGAGGUUUCGAUUCCAGCCCCCGCAACCGCUGCUUUUCUCUCUUGUGCAAAAGAGUAUUCUCUCGGGAGCAGAAGUGUGUAGCGGGGCCAGUGCAAAGGAAUGGUGGCUGCGCCCUGUAUCAUUAGCUUUCUCUUACGAGAGGUGACAAGGUUGACAACCAUCUCAAGCACAGACUUUGCUGGGAUGGGAAGAGGUGUGAUUCCCAAUCAAUGCAGCGAGGCUGACAGAAAUCUGUAGUGAGCCAAAUGAGGCCUUUGGAGCUUUUGUACAGAGCGUGCUGACAGCACUGAACAUUGAUGCAAGUGAUACUAGCAGCUUAGUACUUGUAAGGUAGGCAGUAUGAGAAAGAAAUAGUUGCAGGACUUCUAUAUUGCAGAACAUUUGCUGGAGAAGAGAGAAAAGCAAAUUAAAAGGUUGCUGCUGUCUGAUUUCUGCAGGAACCUGAGAAAUGUACAGAAGAUACAGCACCUUUUUACAAUAUAGUACUGUAUCCCCUGCUGUAAUCUGUUUAUUAGAUCAUCAGAAACUUUUUAGGUUAUUAUAUGUAUUACCUCAUGAGUCUGUAGGGACUUUGUACAUCAAGAACUUUGUCUUUAAGUGACUGGCAUUUUUUUUUACACUGUAAGAAGUGUGUAGACCUUAUGUGUGGUCUGUUAACACUUUUGACAUUGUAACAUGGAUGCUAAGGCCUAAGAAAUGUCAGAGCGCUCACAAAACGGAAAGCAGCUGCUACUGAUGGAAAUUACCUACCUGUUGGUACCUUAUGCCUGCUAAAUUCCAAGUCAUGUAAAAUUACAUAAAAUAAAGAAGGAUGCUUUCUUUACUCUUGAUGUUGAAAAUAUGGCCAUCUAAGUCUGCUUUAAGAAGUAAUAUAAAAAGACAAAAUAUAAAGAAUAAAAAAUAAACACAGAACAGUUA
This is a long non-coding RNA of Rhea pennata, 1175 nucleotides long. RefSeq lists it as uncharacterized. Lineage: Eukaryota; Metazoa; Chordata; Aves; Rheiformes; Rheidae. The transcript is spliced from 4 exons. The record is from RefSeq and is a predicted model, not a curated record.